UAACUCUCGUGCUUGGUCUAACCCACCUCGUCACGGAUUUGGACGUUGCCGGCGCGAGUCGGCUCGUCUCGAAAUGCAUUAGCUAGAGUGCACGUCACGUGCGGCGUUGAUAAUUGUCUACGUCCUGCGAGUCGAGCGCCCUGCUCCCAAUCGCCCUUCAUCGGGCAACAUUUCAAA
This 177-nucleotide unclassified non-coding RNA is filed under the name uncultured Auriculariales. RNAcentral's name for it is "sequence contains ITS2". Lineage: Eukaryota; Fungi; Basidiomycota; Agaricomycetes; Auriculariales. The record is from RNAcentral.